GAUGAACCCUAGCUACAGGCUUAACACAUGCAAGUCGAGGGGUAGCAGGGUAGCAAUACCGCUGACGACCGGCGCACGGGUGAGUAACACGUAUCCAACCUACCGUUUACUCGGGGAUAGCCUUUCGAAAGAAAGAUUAAUACCCGAUAGUAUAAAGAGUUCGCAUGUUCUCUUUAUUAAAGGAUUCCGGUAAAUGAUGGGGAUGCGUUCCAUUAGAUUGUUGGCGGGGUAACGGCCCACCAAGUCUUCGAUGGAUAGGGGUUCUGAGAGGAAGGUCCCCCACAUUGGAACUGAGACACGGUCCAAACUCCUGCGGGAGGCAGCAGUGAGGAAUAUUGGUCAAUGGGCGUUAGCCUGAACCAGCCAAGUAGCGUGAGGGAUGACUGCCCUAUGGGUUGUAAACUUCUUUUAUAAGGGAAUAAAACGGGGAACGUGUUCCCCUUUGCAUGUACCUUACGAAUAAGGAUCGGCUAACUCCGUGCCAGCCGCCGCGGUAA
Molecule: ribosomal RNA, 497 nt
Filed under: uncultured bacterium
Lineage: Bacteria
Description: partial 16S ribosomal RNA
Rfam family: Bacterial small subunit ribosomal RNA
Source: RNAcentral